Molecule: ribosomal RNA, 468 nt
Filed under: uncultured bacterium
Lineage: Bacteria
Description: partial 16S ribosomal RNA
Rfam family: Bacterial small subunit ribosomal RNA
Source: RNAcentral
GACGAACGCUGGCGGCGUGCUUAACACAUGCAAGUCGAACGGAAAGGCCCUGCUUUUGUGGGGUGCUCGAGUGGCGAACGGGUGAGUAACACGUGAGUAACCUGCCCUUGACUUUGGGAUAACUUCAGGAAACUGGGGCUAAUACCGGAUAGGAUCUCUUGCUGCAUGGUGGGGGUUGGAAAGUUUCGGCGGUUGGGGAUGGACUCGCGGCUUAUCAGCUUGUUGGUGGGGUAGUUGCUUACCAAGGGUUUGACGGGUAGCCGGCCUGAGAGGGUGACCGGCGACAAUGGGACUAAGAUACGGCCCAGACGCCAACGGGAGGCAGCAGUGGGGAAUAUUGCACAGUGGGCGGGAGCCUGAUGCGGAGGCGCCGGGUGCGGGAUGACGGCCUUCGGGUUGUAAACCGCUUUCGCCUGUGACGAGGCGUGAGUGACGGUAAUGGGUAAAGAAGCACCGGCUAACUACGUG